UAGUGAGCGCCACUACAGGUUUGCUUCUUCAUUGCCAUUAUAUCUUCCACGUUGACCGUCCUGUGAGACGGGAGGAUCCAGGCUGCACACCGUGACCACCGACCCACACCAGCUGGGCUCCCAAAGCAACCACAGAUGUUAUGCUCUUAGAAUAACAUUACCAGCAGGAGCAUUUGGUGCUGCCUCCUAACUCUGGACACACAUUCCUAGGAGAGUAAUACUACCAACCUCUACAUCAGCCUCAGCAUUACCAGAUAUCUACCCAGACUGGAAGGAGCUGCACUCAGUAUGAGAUGUUGAUUCUACUGCCUGAUGUGGAUUUUUGAAGAGCCUUAAACAACUUAUUCGCCUAAGAGCGUUCCCACAAUAUCCUUAAUUUUAGAAGUGUUGUCACUCAUCUUUACUUGCUACUGCUGUGCAGUUUUCACUGUAUGAAAAGCCCUCCCACUGUACUGCCCAGUCUCUCUACAGUGAUUAUGAUGAUCCUGUCCAUAACAAGGCUGAUAAUGGAGGAACAUGUGACAUACAUAUAACUCUUCAUACUCCGUAGGCAUAUACAGGUGCAGUGGAGUCACAUACUACUCCAUACUUGGCCAAAUUAUGGAUAUGAUUGCCAUAGUCACUAAAGAUAAGGACGAGGUAGAAUGGGGCAGGACUUGUUGAAUAGUAAAAACACAGCACAGCAGGAGCAAGUGACUGAGUGAUGAUACUUUACAAUUAUAGCACUUAUACAUACAUCCAAUCGGCAAAGAGACCUGCAUCUGGCCAUAAUCGCAUGAUUCUGACUGACUGGGA
Molecule: long non-coding RNA, 795 nt
Organism: Hyla sarda
Lineage: Eukaryota; Metazoa; Chordata; Amphibia; Anura; Hylidae
Exons: 4
Source: RefSeq, a predicted model, not a curated record